Sphaerulina musiva SO2202 is the source of this 107-nucleotide non-coding RNA. The record is from the annotation of a RefSeq genome assembly. NCBI's taxonomy places the organism in Eukaryota, Fungi, Ascomycota, Dothideomycetes, Mycosphaerellales, Mycosphaerellaceae.
GGUUUCGUAGUGUAGUGGCCCAUCACGUUUCGUUUACAUUCGCAAAAGACAUCCAUGUCUGGGAAGUAGAGCCGAAAAGGUCGCGAGUUCGAUCCUCGCCGAAACCU